AAGUAUAGGAAUCUACCUUGGGGUGGGGGAUAACGUAGGGAAACUUACGCUAAUACCACAUAACACUUACGAGUCAAAGCGGGGGAUCUUCGGACCUCGCGCCCUUAGAUGAGCCUAUAUUGGAUUAGCUAGUUGGUGAGGUAAAGGCUCACCAAGGCGACGAUCCAUAGCUGGUUUGAGAGGAUGAUCAGCCACAUCGGGACUGAGACACGGCCCGAACUCCUACGGGAGGCAGCAGUGGGGAAUAUUGGACAAUGGGGGCAACCCUGAUCCAGCAAUGCCGCGUGUGUGAAGAAGGCCUUAGGGUUGUAAAGCACUUUCGUUAGUGAAGAAAGGUUUAUGGCUAAUACCUAUAGAUUUGACAUUAGCUAAAGAAGAAGCACCGGCUAACUCCGUGCCAGCAGCCGCGGUAAUACGGAGGGUGCAAGCGUUAUUCGGAAUGACUGGGCGUAAAGCGCACGCAGGCGGUUACUUAAGUCAGAUGUGAAAGCCCUGGGCUUAACCUAGGAAUUGCAUUUGAAACUGGGUAACUAGAGUAUGUCAGAGGAAGGCGGAAUUUCCAGUGUAGCAGUGAAAUGCGUAGAGAUUGGAAGGAACACCGAUGGCGAAGGCAGCCUUCUGGGGCAAUACUGACGCUCAUGUGCGAAAGCGUGGGUAGCAAACAGGAUUAGAUACCCUGGUAGUCCACGCCCUAAACGAUGUCAACUAGGUGUUGGGUACAAUAGUGCUCGGUACCGCAGCUAACGCAUUAAGUUGACCGCCUGGGGAGUACGGCCGCAAGGUUGAAACUCAAAGAAAUUGAC
RNAcentral lists this ribosomal RNA (803 nucleotides) under uncultured bacterium. Its description in RNAcentral is "bacterial SSU rRNA". It matches the Rfam family "Bacterial small subunit ribosomal RNA", at positions 113 to 914 of the family's 1533-position model. The record is from RNAcentral.